RNAcentral lists this long non-coding RNA (406 nucleotides) under Pelobates cultripes (western spadefoot toad). The record is from RNAcentral. Lineage: Eukaryota; Metazoa; Chordata; Amphibia; Anura; Pelobatidae.
GUCACAAAAUGCAAUGUUCUGGGAGAACGGGAAGCAGCUCCAUUUUUUGGGGGCCCUUUACACAGCUCAAGGUCUGGGUCCCAGGGUCCACCUUCAUGUUCCACCAAUGAGUUCGUUCACAGGGGGUGGAGUGUGUAGGGGAUGUCCUGAUAUGUGUGUAAGGAAUGCAUUGUAUGACAUUGUGUUUGUAUGUGUAAGGGCUGCAAGGUGUGUUUCUGUGUAUGUACGGGAUGCAUUGAAUGUGUGUAAGGGGUGCAUUGAGUGUGUGUAAUGAAUGCAUUGUGUGUUUCUGUGUGUGUAAGGGAUGCAUUGUGUGUAACGGUUGCAUUGCUUGUGUAUGUGUGUCUGUGUGUGUAAUGCAUUGUGUGUUUCUCUGUGUGCAAGGGGUGCAUUGUGUGUAUGUGUG